This 545-nucleotide long non-coding RNA is filed under the name Mytilus galloprovincialis (Mediterranean mussel). Lineage: Eukaryota; Metazoa; Mollusca; Bivalvia; Mytilida; Mytilidae. The record is from RNAcentral.
GUCGAAAUAGAUAACAGUUUAUUUGGGAGGAAGAUUAAGUAUAACCGGGGAAAACCAUCAGGGAACCCGAGUUUGGAUUUUUUGGAUAGUCGAUUAUUUGUUUUGUUGAAAUCCGAGCGAGUGUAAAAAUUGGCCCGAAAAUGGCUGCCCUAAACAAAUUUUCACCAUCACCAUUGGAUUUAUGGGGCUUUAUUCAUAAAAAAGGGGGAUUUUUAACACUUCGGACAAUAACUCAAAAAGGCUUUCACCAAUGUCCAUGAAACUUUGGUGAAUUGUUUAUAUCUAUUGAUGUAAGCUCCCUUUCAAUUUUUAUAAAUUUCAGAUUUUCAGUUUUGGAUUUAUGGGGCUUUAUUCAUAAAAAAAGGGGAUUUUUUAACACUUCGGACAAUAACUCAAAAAGGCUUUCACCAAUGUCCAUGAAACUUUGGUGAAUUGUUUAUAUCUAUUGAUGUAAGCUCCCUUUCAAUUUUUUUAAAUUUCAGAUUUUAAGUUUUGGAUUUAUUUGGCUUUAUUCAUAAAAAAGGGGGAUUUUUAACACUUCGGAC